RNAcentral lists this transfer RNA (69 nucleotides) under bovine gut metagenome. It matches the Rfam family "tRNA". Rfam says of the family: Transfer RNA (tRNA) molecules are approximately 80 nucleotides in length. Their secondary structure includes four short double-helical elements and three loops (D, anti-codon, and T loops). The record is from RNAcentral.
UGGAAUAGCUCAGUCGGUAGAGCAGUUCACUCGUAAUGAAAAGGUCGUAGGUUCGAUUCCUAUUUCCAG